This 585-nucleotide ribosomal RNA is filed under the name uncultured bacterium. RNAcentral's name for it is "partial 16S ribosomal RNA". It matches the Rfam family "Bacterial small subunit ribosomal RNA", at positions 355 to 932 of the family's 1533-position model. The record is from RNAcentral.
UGGGGAAUUUUGGACAAUGGGCGAAAGCCUGAUCCAGCAAUGCCGCGUGUGUGAAGAAGGCCUUCGGGUUGUAAAGCACUUUUGUCCGGAAAGAAAUCCUUGGCUCUAAUACAGUCGGGGGAUGACGGUACCGGAAGAAUAAGCACCGGCUAACUACGUGCCAGCAGCCGCGGUAAUACGUAGGGUGCAAGCGUUAAUCGGAAUUACUGGGCGUAAAGCGUGCGCAGGCGGUUUGCUAAGACCGAUGUGAAAUCCCCGGGCUCAACCUGGGAACUGCAUUGGUGACUGGCAGGCUAGAGUAUGGCAGAGGGGGGUAGAAUUCCACGUGUAGCAGUGAAAUGCGUAGAGAUGUGGAGGAAUACCGAUGGCGAAGGCAGCCCCCUGGGCCAAUACUGACGCUCAUGCACGAAAGCGUGGGGGAGCAAACAGGAUUAGAUACCCUGGUAGUCCACGCCCUAAACGAUGUCAACUAGUUGUUGGGGAUUCAUUUCCUUAGUAACGUAGCUAACGCGUGAAGUUGACCGCCUGGGGAGUACGGUCGCAAGAUUAAAACUCAAAGGAAUUGACGGGUCAUAGCUGUUUCCU